This is a long non-coding RNA of Mastomys coucha (southern multimammate mouse), 321 nucleotides long. RefSeq lists it as uncharacterized. Lineage: Eukaryota; Metazoa; Chordata; Mammalia; Rodentia; Muridae. The transcript is spliced from 3 exons. The record is from RefSeq and is a predicted model, not a curated record.
GAACUAGAGAAGAUCGUUCUGAGAGGGGGUACCAAUCACCAGAUCCAGAAAGAUAAGCAUGAUGUGUACUCGAUUACAGCUGCAGAGCAAGAGACCCAAGUGCCUGCUGCUUCCCGUUAGUUUGCUCCUUUGAACAUUUCCACACCCCAUGGGGUCUGAUGACAUCAGCUCAGGUCACAAGAAUGGUUGGCCCAUCCUUUAGAGCAAAGACUCCUCUGAGAGUUAAGAAGCUAAGGGAAAAUGUGGAUGAAAACAACCUUCCAGAGACCUGCAACACUGGAAGACUUUCCAAUGUGUUAUGAAAAAGAAAAAGCCAUGAGA